This 255-nucleotide ribosomal RNA is filed under the name uncultured bacterium. Its description in RNAcentral is "partial 16S ribosomal RNA". It matches the Rfam family "Bacterial small subunit ribosomal RNA", at positions 524 to 776 of the family's 1533-position model. The record is from RNAcentral.
UACGGGGGGGAGCAAGCGUUGUUCGGAUUUACUGGGCGUAAAGGGCGCGUAGGCGGUCGUGACAAGUCACUUGUGAAAUCUCCGGGCUUAACUCGGAACGGUCAAGUGAUACUGUCGGACUAGAGUACAGAAGGGGCAACUGGAAUUCUCGGUGUAGCGGUGAAAUGCGUAGAUAUCGAGAGGAACACCUGCGGCGAAGGCGGGUUGCUGGGCUGACACUGACGCUGAGGCGCGAAAGCUAGGGGAGCGAACGGG